This 465-nucleotide ribosomal RNA is filed under the name uncultured bacterium. RNAcentral's name for it is "partial 16S ribosomal RNA". It matches the Rfam family "Bacterial small subunit ribosomal RNA", at positions 338 to 795 of the family's 1533-position model. The record is from RNAcentral.
CCUACGGGCGGCAGCAGUGGGGAAUAUUGCGCAAUAGGCGAAAGCCUGACGCAGCGACGCCGCGUGAGGGAUGAAGGUCUUCGGAUCGUAAACCUCUGUCAGCAGGGAAGAACGGUCACUGUGCUAAUCAGCAGUGAAUUGACGGUACCUGCAAAGGAAGCACCGGCUAACUCCGUGCCAGCAGCCGCGGUAAUACGGAGGGUGCGAGCGUUAAUCGGAAUUACUGGGCGUAAAGCGCUCGUAGGCGGUAUGUCAAGUCAAGGGGGAAAUCCCCGCGCUCAACGUGGGAACUGCCUUUGAAACUGGCAAACUGGAGUGUGUGAGAGGAUAGUGGAAGUCCAGGUGUAGGAGUGAAAUCCGUAGAUAUCUGGAGGAACAUCAGUGGCGAAGGCGACUAUCUGGCACAUAACUGACGCUGAGGAGCGAAAGCGUGGGUAGCAAACAGGAUUAGAUACCCCUGUAGUC